Long non-coding RNA from Drosophila obscura, 1528 nucleotides. RefSeq lists it as uncharacterized. Lineage: Eukaryota; Metazoa; Arthropoda; Insecta; Diptera; Drosophilidae. The record is from RefSeq and is a predicted model, not a curated record. The transcript has 3 exons.
UAAAUCAAACUAUCAUAGAGAAUUCAGUUGAGUUUAGAUUUCAACCGAGCAACAGGAAUAUUCUAAAAAUGUUCUCAAACGGAUUCCACAUUCUUUUGGGGUGCGCCGCUGUGAUCUUCUGCAUUUCCAUCGUCUGGAAGAUGACCGAACCGAAAAAUGAAAUCGAUGUUAUUGAUUCAAAUAUGAUACUGAAGAAGGCCAAGCACAUAAUGUGUGAGACUUUGAACUACUUUUGGGAGGAUCAGUGUCCAAAGGCACCGGAAACCUGGUUCGAGCGCCACAUCGUUGGAAAGUUUCGAAUGCUGUUUUAUAAGGAAAAUUAAUAUUUUAUUACAAGUCAAUUCACAAAUCCCCGAAAAAUCUACAAUCAACAUUACACAAGGACAAUUAAACAGAAUAAAAUCCUGAUGCUCAACUCAACAAAGUCAUACUUUUCCAAUUUCUGGCGGCAUAAUUAAAUGGAAAUGACAAAGGAUUAGCGCGUGGUCUGAUUGCAUGCGGAUCAUAUAAGGGGAUUAGCAGAAAUGUCAAAAUUGCUCAAUUUGAUUAUGCCACCGAACACCAUUUAAGCCAUGCUGAUGGCCAUGCUAUUUUAUUUGAUUACAUUGUUGCCGUCAGCUAUAGCUAUGCUAUUAUUUAAUUGCUUUUUUUUCCAACUGCUAAUAGAUUUUGAAUAUACAAAUAGCAUAAAUUAAUAACUUAACAGCAAGAGGUUCUUAGAAGGAGGACUACAAAGGCUAAAAACGCACAGGUUCAUGGUUGGACCAACAGAAAUCCCACAUUUCCCCUUAAACACAGCACUAAAAAUUGUUUAAUUUCUGACUUUCAUUAAAUAUCUGACAAGUCAAAUUUUAGUUUAAAAUUCCCACUGAAUAUAUUCUACGGCUAGAACAUCAAGCCAGAGCACCAAUUAAAAUGUGCCCCAUUAUGCGUUGCCACUGACUGCCUGAAAGAUACAAACUUUUAAAUGGGAAUAAAAUUUUGCGCAGAUUUAUUUGAAAUUUCAUUUUCUAUUUUGGGGCGGACACGGUGCAAAUAUGGAGCUUACGUGCGGCAGAUGCAAGCAAAUGCAAAAUUGGUAGCUAAAAAUGGAAAUGAAAUUCCACAAACUGUCUGGCUGUGGAGCGACGGUCCGGAUUGCCGCUAGCUAAACAAAUAUGCCAGUGCCCGGGGCCAGGGCAAAUAGAACUAGCCCGGAGCGCAGUCAGUCGGACAUGGAAACCCGAUGAAAAUUUGCAUAUCAGACGGCAACCAGAGGUGCUACUCGUACCUUAUUUGACCAUUUAUUGUUGCAUUAUAGGCUGGAGCUCUGGCCUAAAGCCUGGCUUUUGCCUCUUUCGUAGUUUCUUUUUUGCUGAUAAUUACACGGUAAAUUUGGCAAAGUGUGACGCCAAAUAGCAAACAAGAUGCCAGUGAAGACGACUGAAACAAGUUGCACGUACAUCUGUAUGUGUAUAUGUAUGUAUUCGUGCCUACGCACACUGGCAGUGGCAGAAACAGAUAGACGCACGCUUUGUGCCACAGUUAC